Molecule: non-coding RNA, 3032 nt
Organism: Drosophila suzukii
Lineage: Eukaryota; Metazoa; Arthropoda; Insecta; Diptera; Drosophilidae
Source: RefSeq, a predicted model, not a curated record
ACUGUGAACACUUGUCCUGCAUAAAUUAUUUUUCCUCGCGCGAUCCCAAGUCCGUCGAAAGUCGAAUUGUUUACUCCGUCGAAACAGCAACGAAAUGCUCUAGAAGAUCCUUUCGGAUGACGGUGAAGAGCCCUUAAAAAGCCCCAAGAAUGUGACGACCACGAAGGGUCAGAAAAAGCGCAGACGGAAUUCCAAUUUUUUUGACAGUGCCCAAAUGCCUGUAGAAGAUUCAGGAAGAAAUGAAGACUUAAAAUCAGACACCUUUGUCCGAACUCCUUCCGUCCUGUGCUCCAAUCUUAGAACCGUCGCCCGUCAAGUUUUGUCUGCAGGCCGUCUUCAUCUGAAUUAAUUUUAAAUACUUAAUAUGUUAAUAAUAUUAAUACUUAAAUGUUACUGAGUUGCCAUGGCUUUUAAGGAAUAUAGGGUGACAACUCUGUUUCCAGCAGAUUGGUUUUAUCGAGCGAGAAUUGCAAACGCAGCAAGCGGGUUGAGUUGUGAAAAAAUUUGACAUCCGACAAUUCAGUACGACAUUUGACAUUAGUUAAAUUGAUUUCAGACUGUGCGCACUUGCCCGGCAUAAAUUAUUUUUACUCGCACGAUGCCAAGCCCGUCGAAAGUCGAAUAGUUUACUCCGUCGAAACAGAAACGAAAUGAUCCAGAAGAUUCUUUCGGAUGGUGGUGAAGAGCCCUCAAAAAUCCCCAAGAUUAUGACGACCACGAAGGGUUAGAAAAAGCGCAGACGGAAUUCCAAGUUUUUUGACAGGGCCCAAAUGCCUGUAGAAGACUCAGAAAUAAAUGAAGCCUUAAAAUCAGACACCUUUGUCCGAACUCUUUCCGUCCUGUGCUCCAAUCUUAGAACCGUCGCCUGGCCAGUUUUUCUGCAGGCCGUCUUCAUCUGAAUUAAUUUUAAAUACUUAAUAUGCUAACAAUAUUAAUACUUAAAUCUUACUGAGUUGCCAUGGCUUUUAAGGAAUAUAGGGUGACAACUCUGUUUCCAGCAGAUUGGUUUUAUCGAGCGAGAAUUGCAAACGCAGCAAGCGGGUUGAGUUGUGAAAAAAUUUGACAUCCGACAAUUCAGUACGACAUUUGACAUUAGUUAAAUUGAUUUCAGACUGUGCGCACUUGCCCGGCAUAAAUUAUUUUUACUCGCACGAUGCCAAGCCCGUCGAAAGUCGAAUUGUUUACUCCGUCGAAACAGGUAAGACCUCUUGUUUAGCAACGAAAUGCUCCAGAAGAUUCUUUCGGAUGGUGGUGAGGAGCCCUCAAAAAGCCCCAAGAUUAUGACGACCACGAAGGGUCAGAAAAAGCGCAGACGGAACUCCAAGUUUUUUGACAGAGCCCAAAUGCCUGUAGAAGAUUUAGAAAUAAAUGAAGCCCAAAAAUCAGACACAUUUGUCCGAACUCCCUCCGUCCUGUGCUCCGAUCCUAGAACCGUCGCCCGGUAAGUUUUGUCUGCAGGGCGUCUUUUUGAAUUUUGCCAACCAGGGGAGCUCUGAAUCCAUCCACUUAGAUCCGACGAGGAUCUUAUGCGACCCCCAAGUUUAUCUAGGGUACUUAAAGCCCGACGUUUACCAACCUAGAACAAGUAGAACUUCGCAAAGUUGAUGCUGUGGAGCCGGAGUUCGGAAAACGUGUGCACGAUGAAGUGUUUCUGGAAACUUCUGGAGACUUUGGCUGUAGAGCCAGUUGAAGAAAUGCAAAUGAACGAGCGUAGACCACCAGAUACUCAGAUUCUGGGCAUUCCCGAACAUUGGGGCUCAUCAGCUCCUUGGCUAUCUCGCUUUCAAAGCCAACGGUUCUGGCUCUGCAGAUGAUGGUUUGGCAUCAAUCCUGCCAAAGCCCUAAGAAGAGUCAGGGAUUCACUAGUGGCUACAGCAAUGUAGUAAGCCCAUCUCCCAGAAGCAGUUGCCGGGAGCAGCAGUUUCUGGGAGACGGUCUUACUGCAUUGCUGUAUCCACUCCUGAAGCUCUCACUCAUCUUUGGGUCGUGGCGGAAUUGUCCCAAGCCAACAUUCGCAAAACCAAGAAUCCUUGGCCUUGAAAGUGAGCUGCCCAAGGAACAGAUGAAGCCACAAUGUUAAGGAAUGUCGGGCAUCAGAGUGUCUGCUGGUCUAGGAUCGUUCAGUUGCAUUUCUUUAUCUGGCUCUACAGCAGAAGUCUCCAGAAGUUUCCAGGUCCAUUUCAUUGUGCACUCGUUUUUCGAGCUUUGUCUCCACAUCAUCAACUUUGCGAGGUUCUACUUGCUCUGGAUGAGUAAUCGUCGGGCCUUAGGAACCCUAGAUGAACUUGUUGGUGGCAUAAGCUCCUCGCUGGAUUUAAUUGGAUGGGUUCAGAGUUCCUCUGGUUGCCGGAAUUCAAUAUGACACCCUGCACACUAAUCGUGUCGGGCGAAGGAGUGCUCAGAGUGCCCCGGAGAAUGAGUGGCAGAAUAGCUCCACAGUUCGCCUCGAAGACUUCGACGAUAUCGAUUACCAAGACAUGACGGUAAACAAGGAUCCACAAGCAAAAAGACUCGCCUCCAAGUGAAAAGAACAGUAUGGUCUCAAGUCGGCGGAGCAAUAACCAGUUCGUCAAGGAGCAGUUCUUCCAAAAGAUCUGGAUCCUCAGACGUCCUACGAAACCUAAAACCGUCUUCAAAAGCGACAUCGGCCAAUGGCACGUUGAUGAUUAUGACCGGAAGAAGUGGGAAAAUGAUGGAAGAUGAAUUUCAAGGUAGAUCCCUCCUGCACUUACGCCUCGUUUUCGCUGCCAACUUUCCCUGGAGCGUUAAUAUGCAGGAAUUCAAUAAGGCCCUUUUCUCGAAACUUUUCCUGCGUGAGACCAACUUCCAUGUGAACAAGGAAAUGACCUGUGUAUCCGCCAGACUCUAUUUUUCGGAAAUUUUCCAGUUUUUUGCCAUGACUGAAAUGCUGAAGAAACUGUUCCUGCUAUCGGCCAGCUAUCAAAAAGGAUCCAAAGACACAAAAAAUACAACUGUUCGAUGUUAAAUAAACAAUUCAUUUUCAUAAUUCUGAGUAGAGUCCUUGGUGAUAU